AGUGAACGCUGGCGGUAGGCCUAACACAUGCAAGUCGAACGGCAGCACAGUAAGAGCUUGCUCUUACGGGUGGCGAGUGGCGGACGGGUGAGGAAUACAUCGGAAUCUACUUUUUCGUGGGGGAUAACGUAGGGAAACUUACGCUAAUACCGCAUACGACCUACGGGUGAAAGCAGGGGAUCUUCGGACCUUGCGCGAUUGAAUGAGCCGAUGUCGGAUUAGCUAGUUGGCGGGGUAAAGGCCAACCAAGGCGACGAUCCGUAGCUGGUCUGAGAGGAUGAUCAGCCACACUGGAACUGAGACACGGUCCAGACUCCUACGGGAGGGAGCAGUGGGGAAUAUUGGACAAUGGGCGCAAGCCUGAUCCAGCCAUACCGCGUGGGUGAAGAAGGCCUUCGGGUUGUAAAGCCCUUUUGUUGGGAAAGAAAAGCAGCAGGUUAAUACCCCGCUGUUCUGACGGUACCCAAAGAAUAAGCACCGGCUAACUUCGUG
Molecule: ribosomal RNA, 492 nt
Filed under: uncultured bacterium
Lineage: Bacteria
Description: partial 16S ribosomal RNA
Rfam family: Bacterial small subunit ribosomal RNA
Source: RNAcentral